Molecule: ribosomal RNA, 265 nt
Filed under: uncultured bacterium
Lineage: Bacteria
Description: partial 16S ribosomal RNA
Rfam family: Bacterial small subunit ribosomal RNA
Source: RNAcentral
GUCCACGCCGUAAACGAUGGGCACUAGGCGUCGGGGGGAGUGACCCUCCCGGUGCCGUCGCUAACGCAGUAAGUGCCCCGCCUGGGGAGUACGGCCGCAAGGCUGAAACUCAAAGGAAUUGACGGGGGCCCGCACAAGCGGUGGAGCAUGUGGUUUAAUUCGAAGCAACGCGAAGAACCUUACCUGGGCUUGACAUGCUGGUGUAAGCCGGUGGAAACAUCGGCCCCUCUUCGGAGCGCCAGCACAGGUGCUGCAUGGCUGUCGU